RNAcentral lists this ribosomal RNA (434 nucleotides) under uncultured Lachnospiraceae bacterium. Its description in RNAcentral is "partial 16S ribosomal RNA". It matches the Rfam family "Bacterial small subunit ribosomal RNA", at positions 341 to 792 of the family's 1533-position model. Lineage: Bacteria; Bacillati; Bacillota; Clostridia; Lachnospirales; Lachnospiraceae. The record is from RNAcentral.
ACGGAAGGCAGCAGUGGGGAAUAUUGCACAAUGGGGGAAACCCUGAUGCAGCGACGCCGCGUGAGUGAAGAAGUAUUUCGGUAUGUAAAGCUCUAUCAGCAGGAAAGAAAAUGACGGUACCUGACUAAGAAGCCCCGGCUAACUACGUGCCAGCAGCCGCGGUAAUACGUAGGGGGCAAGCGUUAUCCGGAUUUACUGGGUGUAAAGGGAGCGUAGACGGCUUUGCAAGUCUGGAGUGAAAGCCCGGGGCUCAACCCCGGAACUGCUUUGGAAACUGUAGAGCUAGAGUGCAGGAGAGGUAAGUGGAAUUCCUAGUGUAGCGGUGAAAUGCGUAGAUAUUAGGAGGAACACCAGUGGCGAAGGCGGCUUACUGGACUGUAACUGACGUUGAGGCUCGAAGGCGUGGGGAGCAAACAGGAUUAGAUACCCUGGUA